Molecule: ribosomal RNA, 253 nt
Filed under: uncultured bacterium
Lineage: Bacteria
Description: partial 16S ribosomal RNA
Rfam family: Bacterial small subunit ribosomal RNA
Source: RNAcentral
UACGUAGGGAGCAAGCGUUGUUCGGAUUUACUGGGCGUAAAGGGCGCGUAGGCGGCGCGGUAAGUCACUUGUGAAAUCUCUGAGCUUAACUCAGAACGGCCAAGUGAUACUGCAGUGCUAGAGUGCAGAAAGGGCAAUCGGAAUUCUUGGUGUAGCGGUGAAAUGCGCAGAUAUCAGGAGGAACACCGGUGGCGAAGGCGGCUCUCUGGGACGGUACUGACGCUGAGACGCGAAAGCGUGGGGAGCGAACAGG